GCCCCGCCCCUAGCCCGCCUUCCCACGCGGUCUCUGGGCUGGUUGAGCUGCGCCGCUGCAGGUAGUGCUGAAUUGCUCCAGAUUGGAGAGGACGAAGGCCCUGAGGUCCAAGAACAUGGAAACCUGACAGUGGACGCCAACAACUGUGGAGAGAAGCCGGGCGAGAUGCUCACGCUUCCGUGUGCCCAGAAAUCCUGCUUUAUCUUUUUUAAAUAAAGGUGAUUCCUGAUAACA
Gorilla gorilla gorilla (western lowland gorilla) is the source of this 234-nucleotide long non-coding RNA. RefSeq lists it as uncharacterized. The transcript has 2 exons. The record is from RefSeq and is a predicted model, not a curated record. NCBI's taxonomy places the organism in Eukaryota, Metazoa, Chordata, Mammalia, Primates, Hominidae.